AUACAUGCAAGUCGAACGCUUUUUCUUUCACCGGAGCUUGCUCCACCGAAAGAAAAAGAGUGGCGAACGGGUGAGUAACACGUGGGUAACCUGCCCAUCAGAAGGGGAUAACACUUGGAAACAGGUGCUAAUACCGUAUAACACUAUUUUCCGCAUGGAAGAAAGUUGAAAGGCGCUUUUGCGUCACUGAUGGAUGGACCCGCGGUGCAUUAGCUAGUUGGUGAGGUAACGGCUCACCAAGGCAACGAUGCAUAGCCGACCUGAGAGGGUGAUCGGCCACACUGGGACUGAGACACGGCCCAGACUCCUACGGGAGGCAGCAGUAGGGAAUCUUCGGCAAUGGACGAAAGUCUGACCGAGCAACGCCGCGUGAGUGAAGAAGGUUUUCGGAUCGUAAAACUCUGUUGUUAGAGAAGAACAAGGAUGAGAGUAAAAUGUUCAUCCCUUGACGGUAUCUAACCAGAAAGCCACGGCUAACUACGUGCCAGCAGCCGCGGUAAUACGUAGGUGGCAAGCGUUGUCCGGAUUUAUUGGGCGUAAAGCGAGCGCAGGCGGUUUCUUAAGUCUGAUGUGAAAGCCCCCGGCUCAACCGGGGAGGGUCAUUGGAAACUGGGAGACUUGAGUGCAGAAGAGGAGAGUGGAAUUCCAUGUGUAGCGGUGAAAUGCGUAGAUAUAUGGAGGAACACCAGUGGCGAAGGCGGCUCUCUGGUCUGUAACUGACGCUGAGGCUCGAAAGCGUGGGGAGCGAACAGGAUUAGAUACCCUGGUAGUCCACGCCGUAAACGAUGAGUGCUAAGUGUUGGAGGGUUUCCGCCCUUCAGUGCUGCAGC
Molecule: ribosomal RNA, 830 nt
Filed under: Listeria monocytogenes
Lineage: Bacteria; Bacillati; Bacillota; Bacilli; Caryophanales; Listeriaceae
Description: bacterial SSU rRNA
Rfam family: Bacterial small subunit ribosomal RNA
Source: RNAcentral